CUAGCUGUAAACGAUGGAUACUAGGCGUUGAGAGUAUCGACCCUCUCAGUGUCGUAGCUAACGCGUUAAGCAUCCCGCCUGGGGAGUACGCGCGCAAGCGUGAAACUCAAAGGAAUUGACGGGGGCCCGCACAAGCGGUGGAGUAUGUGGUUUAAUUCGAUGCAACGCGAAGAACCUUACCAGGGCUUGACAUGUCCGGAACCCUGCCCAAAGGCGGGGGUGCCUACGGGAACCGGAACACAGGUGGUGC
RNAcentral lists this ribosomal RNA (250 nucleotides) under uncultured Chroococcidiopsis sp. Its description in RNAcentral is "partial 16S ribosomal RNA". It matches the Rfam family "Bacterial small subunit ribosomal RNA", at positions 796 to 1044 of the family's 1533-position model. The record is from RNAcentral. Lineage: Bacteria; Bacillati; Cyanobacteriota; Cyanophyceae; Chroococcidiopsidales; Chroococcidiopsidaceae.